This 491-nucleotide ribosomal RNA is filed under the name uncultured bacterium. Its description in RNAcentral is "partial 16S ribosomal RNA". It matches the Rfam family "Bacterial small subunit ribosomal RNA", at positions 29 to 507 of the family's 1533-position model. The record is from RNAcentral.
GUGCACGCUGGCGGUAGGCCUAACACAUGCAAGUCGAACGGCAGCACAGUAAGAGCUUGCUCUUACGGGUGGCGAGUGGCGGACGGGUGAGGAAUACAUCGGAAUCUACUUUUUCGUGGGGGAUAACGUAGGGAAACUUACGCUAAUACCGCAUACGACCUACGGGUGAAAGCAGGGGAUCUUCGGACCUUGCGCGAUUGAAUGAGCCGAUGUCGGAUUAGCUAGUUGGCGGGGUAAAGGCCCACCAAGGCGACGAUCCGUAGCUGGUCUGAGAGGAUGAUCAGCCACACUGGAACUGAGACACGGUCCAGACCCCUACGGGAGGCAGCAGUGGGGAAUAUUGGACAAUGGGCGCAAGCCUGAUCCAGCCAUACCGCGUGGGUGAAGAAGGCCUUCGGGUUGUAAAGCCCUUUUGUUGGGAAAGAAAAGCAGCAGGUUAAUACCCCGCUGUUCUGACGGUACCCAAAGAAUAAGCACCGGCUAACUUCGUG